UGAGGAAUAUUGGUCAAUGGGCGGGAGCCUGAACCAGCCAAGCCGCGUGAGGGAAGAAGGCCCUAUGGGUCGUAAACCUCUUUUGUCAGGGAACAAAAGCGAGUAUGUAUAUUGGUCUGAGUGUACCUGAAGAAAAAGCAUCGGCUAACUCCGUGCCAGCAGCCGCGGUAAUACGGAGGAUGCGAGCGUUAUCCGGAUUUAUUGGGUUUAAAGGGUGCGUAGGCGGCGGUGCAAGUCAGCGGUAAAAGCCCGGGGGCUCAACCCCGGCGAGCCGUUGAAACUGCAGUGCUAGAGAAGGCGAGAGGUACGCGGAAUGCGCAGUGUAGCGGUGAAAUGCUUAGAUAUUGCGCAGAACUCCGAUUGCGAAGGCAGCGUACUGGCGCCUGACUGACGCUGAGGCACGAAAGCGUGGGGAUCGAACAGGAUUAGAUACC
This 434-nucleotide ribosomal RNA is filed under the name uncultured bacterium. RNAcentral describes it as "bacterial SSU rRNA". It matches the Rfam family "Bacterial small subunit ribosomal RNA", at positions 355 to 786 of the family's 1533-position model. The record is from RNAcentral.